Long non-coding RNA from Populus nigra (black poplar), 670 nucleotides. RefSeq lists it as uncharacterized. The transcript has 3 exons. The record is from RefSeq and is a predicted model, not a curated record. NCBI's taxonomy places the organism in Eukaryota, Viridiplantae, Streptophyta, Magnoliopsida, Malpighiales, Salicaceae.
GCAAUCAGAACUGUUUGUGAUUAUAUGAAUCUCCACUUCAAUGGAUACACAUAAGUUCCUGUCACAAUGACAGCAAGUUUUCUAAGGAUUCUUCUCCUAGCUCUGUCCUUCGUUGCUUUAAUGCCACAGAAAUCAGAGGGUCAAUUGGGCCUGUGGAAAGGGAGGUGCAGAUUGCAGGAAGAUACAAAGGAACCAACCCUGUUAUCUGCCAAGCACAGCAAGGGAUCAUGCCUCCUAUGCCUUCAAGAACUAUUACCAGAAGUUUAAGCAUGAAGGAGCAACUUGUUACUUCAAUGCUGCUGCUCUCAUCACUGAUCUUGAUCCAAAGAUAGAGUUGUACUGUCGUUGCUUGUUGCAUUCGAGUCACGUCCCACAUUGAUCUUCUUGUAGCUGAGGAAAGCAAUGUUGGUGUCACCUUCUUUGAAUCACCCAGUGAUGCUCGUCACAAGACAAGAUAUUUAUUCAGACAGGAUUUGACGCUUCUUAGAUUACAAGUAAUUAUUUUUUUGGUUUUUUUAAUGAUAUUUUUUAAUGAAUUAAAUAGCAUUGACUGUAUUCUAUUUCCUUCCUUCCAUUUUCAUUUCCAUAUAUAGUGAAAAAGCACUAAUUGUAUGGUAUGAUUGUAGUUAUUUUUAAAGUAUUUUUAACUUAAAAAAUAUAUUAAUAAUAU